UCUUGGUCAUUUAGAGGAAGUAAAAGUUGUAACAAGGUCUCCGUUGGUGRACCAGCGGAGGGAUCAUU
Molecule: ribosomal RNA, 68 nt
Filed under: Diaporthe foeniculina
Lineage: Eukaryota; Fungi; Ascomycota; Sordariomycetes; Diaporthales; Diaporthaceae
Description: partial 18S ribosomal RNA
Rfam family: Eukaryotic small subunit ribosomal RNA
Source: RNAcentral